AACGCACAUUGCGCCCCUUGGUAUUCCGAGGGGCAUGCCUGUUCGAGCGUCAUUAUGACCACUCAAGCCUAGCUUGGUAUUGGGGUUCGCGGUCCUGCGGCUCUUAAAAUCAGUGGCGGCGCCAUCUGGCUCUAAGCGUAGUAAUCUUUCUCGCUACAGAGUCCCGGUGGAUGCUUGCCAGCAACCCCCUAUUUUCUUAGGUUGACCUCGGAUCAGGUAGGGAUACCCGCUGAACUUAA
RNAcentral lists this unclassified non-coding RNA (239 nucleotides) under uncultured fungus. RNAcentral describes it as "sequence contains ITS2". The stretch from base 1 to 52 matches the Rfam family "5.8S ribosomal RNA", at positions 103 to 154 of the family's 154-position model. Lineage: Eukaryota; Fungi. The record is from RNAcentral.